Molecule: unclassified non-coding RNA, 299 nt
Filed under: Hevea brasiliensis (rubber tree)
Lineage: Eukaryota; Viridiplantae; Streptophyta; Magnoliopsida; Malpighiales; Euphorbiaceae
Source: RNAcentral
AAAUGGAGUCACAAGCGAAUCUAACAUGCCAAAAUCUCCCUACAAUCUUCUCCUCUUUCGUUGACACAUUCGUCGAUUUCUCUGUCAGCGGUGGUAUUUUCUUACCGCCGUCAAUAACCCCAAAACCCCAAAAUCCAUUACAAACAAUCUUCCCUUCUCCGACUCGUUUAAUUGCUAUAGGUGAUAUCCAUGGUGAUUUUCAAAAAUCCAAAGAAUCCUUCAAACUUGCUGGCUUAAUUGAUGAUCAUGAUAAAUGGUGUGGUGGGUCAACGACAGUUGUACAAAUAGGUGAUGUGCUA